RNAcentral lists this long non-coding RNA (415 nucleotides) under Zonotrichia albicollis (white-throated sparrow). Its description in RNAcentral is "lncRNA (ENSZALG00000002752.1)". Lineage: Eukaryota; Metazoa; Chordata; Aves; Passeriformes; Passerellidae. The record is from RNAcentral.
CCCUCAUAUCUGUGGGGUCUGUGGGCUCAGUUCCUCUUUUUCCUGUAGGAUCUGUGGGAUCUGCUCUCCUUCUGCCUGUAGGAUCAGCUCCUCCUCCUGUAGGGUCUGUGGGGUCAGCUCCCCUUAUACCUGUAGGGUCUGUGGGGUCAGCUCCCCUUAUACCUGUAGGUUCAGCUCUUCAUCCCUCCUGUAGGAUCUGUGGGGUCAGCUGCCCAUAUACCUGUAGGAUCAGCUCUUCCUCCUAUGGGAUCUGUGGGGUCAGCUCCUCACCCUUCCUGUGGGGUCUGUGGGCUCAGCUCCCCUUUUUCCUGUAGGAUCAGUGAGAUCAGCUCUCCUUCAGCCUGUAGGAUCAGCUCCCCAGCCCUCCUGUGGGAUCUGUAGGAUCAGCUCCCCACCCAUCCUGUGGGAUUUGUAG